CCGGAGUCAAAUACUUUGUUGCGGCCUCAAAAGAAAACCCUAACUCUCACAACUAUCCACCCGACCCAACACUCCUACAGCCUUAACACCGUCGCCAUCCACCGUCCAGCGCCUUCGCUUUGGUUUUGAUAGCGGACGCUGCAGAUCUCACAUUGAUCUCAUAUGAUAUCUAUUGAACAGGUCUAAAUCGAACCGUCGCAUUGUAUUCAACCAAAUCUGCAUUGAUUCAUUACCAGAUCUGCUUAAAUUCACAACCUUGCAUGGCGUUUGAUUUCUUUAUACAAGUUGGUGGAACUUUCAUGAUGUGUUCUUGAUGCUUUAGUAUUUCAAACUAACUUUCGCCUCCCCCUCCAGCCUCCCUCCCCAGGAAGUUGAGGCUAUGACCCUUUAGACUUAUAGAGAACGCAAAAACACAAAGAUUUGGUUGAUCAAGGCGAUAAAUGGUUAAAAGAUAUGGUUAUCCAUCAUAUGACCUUUCUUUUUUUGAUGUCGUGCGCUUCGAUUGUCAUCUUCUCAUCUAUCAACACAUCUCGUUUUCUAAUGUGAUUUCAUACAAACUCAUCUAUCAAUACAACCCUAGCGGCAGAUAUGUGGUUAAUGAACUUUAGAACUUCAAAGACGGUCGGAAAACUACAUUAAAGGAAGUUAUUAGCUACAUCUUGAAGAAUAUGAAGAAGCGCAAAAGGCUAAAGUUUGUAUGCUGCCAUUUUAUCAUCAUUUAAAUCGACUUGCAUAGUAAUUUUUUCUAGGAGUUCAUUUUAUUUGUAUGCACUCUGAAUAUCUAGACUUGUACAUAUGUGUGCCCUCACUCACAAUCUCACAUGGAGAUGGCAAUUUUAUUCCAUGUAGUUUGUAAAGGGGUUAUAUGGAGUCGAGGGUCUCUCUGGAAGCAAUCUAUCUAUCUCAUGGAUAGAGGUAAGGUUUGCCUACAUCACACCCUCGCAAACCCUACAAAUAACUUGCUAUUUAUGGGAUUUAAGGGGUACGGUUGUUGUUGAUUUCCUGCAAACUCUACCCGAAAAGCUGAUGUUAACAUUCGCUUUUAGUGUUCGUAUGUCACGCCAAGAAGGGUGUCGUAGAGAUGUCGAUUGUUAUCUUUGUGCUUGCUGGGUUGGUUGUCUACCUAUUGGAAACCCGCGCGAUAUAUUAAAUAUACUAAUAGGAAACCUGCGCGAUACUGUGGUUGUGAAAAUUUGCAACGCAAUACUCUUUUUGUGUUAGUUUAUCAAUCCUCCCGUGAAUAUAUGGAUAUACUUUAUAGUAGUUUGUUAGUUUAUUAGUCCU
Molecule: long non-coding RNA, 1284 nt
Filed under: Helianthus annuus (common sunflower)
Lineage: Eukaryota; Viridiplantae; Streptophyta; Magnoliopsida; Asterales; Asteraceae
Source: RNAcentral